CAAACAUCUGACACCAGAGAACAUACUCCUCACAGAAUUUGGUUUAGUGUGCCUGGACAGAUUUGGAAGAAUCCAUGAAAAUUCAGAAAACACAGCAGCAAAUCUGUUGGAAACAAAAUAUCUGCCACCGGAAGCCUUUGUGAAUGGGACCUAUGAUGCUAAAAGUGACAUUUGGUCAGUUGGUUGCAUACUCAUACAAGCUCUGUACUCGACAACUGGCAUUCUCAGCAAAGACUACAAUCGAGAUCAAGGCGAAGAUAAUGAAUGGUCCUCACCCAUCUCUCACAGAGCCAUUUUCACCAGAGCUUUGUGAACUAUUGAGUGAUACGUUAAAUAAAGACCCUCAACCAAGACCAACAGCCAGCGAGAUCCUGGGGCGUCCUUUCAUUCAAAACUGUGUCUCAAAAAAGGUAUGACACUCGUACAAUGUUAAACUCAUCAAAUCAAUUAUUUUAUAAAGUGAUUAGUGGUAAAGAAAAUAAUAAAAAGCUUUUUUUCUUUUACCAUAUAGUUGGAUGUUACAGGAAAGGUACUGUAUUAAGCUUUAAAUUAAUUUUUACAAAAUUCUGAUCUGAAUUCAGAAUAAGAAAAGAUUGUGAUUCUAAUUUUGCGCAUCCAUAUUUCCUGUAUUAUUAC
Etheostoma spectabile (orangethroat darter) is the source of this 636-nucleotide long non-coding RNA. RefSeq lists it as uncharacterized. The record is from RefSeq and is a predicted model, not a curated record. NCBI's taxonomy places the organism in Eukaryota, Metazoa, Chordata, Actinopteri, Perciformes, Percidae. The transcript is spliced from 5 exons.